RNAcentral lists this long non-coding RNA (355 nucleotides) under Helianthus annuus (common sunflower). RNAcentral's name for it is "hypothetical non coding rna". The record is from RNAcentral. Lineage: Eukaryota; Viridiplantae; Streptophyta; Magnoliopsida; Asterales; Asteraceae.
ACUCGACAUCGUGGUUGCGACUCGAAAUCUCAUUAUUUUAAGCUGUUUAAAUGUGAACUAAAGAAAAAAUUUUCCGGGGCCCCGCCCCGAACCCCGGGCGGGGGCACGCUGUCCCCCGCACCCCAGCGAACUCACCGCGGAGUUCGAUCCGCGCUAACGGGUGGUUUGCUAUUAAAUGAUUGGUUUUUGUAAUUAUUUAGUUAAUUAAUGAGGAUCAAAGAAUGAUUUACAAAACCAAAAUGGCUUAACUUGAAUGAGCUUUUGAUGUAUCACUUCUGGCCAAAGCUGAUUUGAUGCAUCUAUUUAUUGUUCAAGUAUUAUAAAAGCUAUGUUGACAUGCUUGACAAGUGCAUAA